AACGAACGCUGGCGGCAUGCCUAACACAUGCAAGUCGAACGAGACCUUCGGGUCUAGUUGCGCACGGGUGCGUAACGCGUGGGAACCUUCCCUUAGGUUCGGAAUAACUCCCCGAAAGGGGUGCUAAUACCGGAUAAUGUCUUCGGACCAAAGAUUUAUCGCCUUUGGAUGGGCCCGCGUUGGAUAAGCUAGUUGGUAGGGUAAAAGCCUACCAAGGCGACGAUCCAUAGCUGGUCUGAGAGGAUGAUCAGCCACACUGGGACUGAGACACGGCCCAGACUCCUACGGGAGGCAGCAGUGGGGAAUAUUGGACAAUGGGCGAAAGCCUGAUCCAGCAAUGCCGCGUGAGUGAUGAAGGCCUUAGGGUUGUAAAGCUCUUUUACCCGGGAUGAUAAUGACAGUACCGGGAGAAUAAGCUCCGGCUAACUCCGUG
Molecule: ribosomal RNA, 433 nt
Filed under: uncultured bacterium
Lineage: Bacteria
Description: partial 16S ribosomal RNA
Rfam family: Bacterial small subunit ribosomal RNA
Source: RNAcentral